AAAUUGAAGAGUUUGAUCAUGGCUCAGAUUGAACGCUGGCGGCAGGCCUAACACAUGCAAGUCGAGCGGUAGCACAGAGAGCUUGCUCUCGGGUGACGAGCGGCGGACGGGUGAGUAAUGUCUGGGAAACUGCCUGAUGGAGGGGGAUAACUACUGGAAACGGUAGCUAAUACCGCAUAACGUCGCAAGACCAAAGUGGGGGACCUUCGGGCCUCAUGCCAUCAGAUGUGCCCAGAUGGGAUUAGCUAGUAGGUGGGGUAACGGCUCACCUAGGCGACGAUCCCUAGCUGGUCUGAGAGGAUGACCAGCCACACUGGAACUGAGACACGGUCCAGACUCCUACGGGAGGCAGCAGUGGGGAAUAUUGCACAAUGGGCGCAAGCCUGAUGCAGCCAUGCCGCGUGUGUGAAGAAGGCCUUCGGGUUGUAAAGCACUUUCAGCGGGGAGGAAGGCGAUAAGGUUAAUAACCUUGUCGAUUGACGUUACCCGCAGAAGAAGCACCGGCUAACUCCGUGCCAGCAGCCGCGGUAAUACGGAGGGUGCAAGCGUUAAUCGGAAUUACUGGGCGUAAAGCGCACGCAGGCGGUCUGUCAAGUCGGAUGUGAAAUCCCCGGGCUCAACCUGGGAACUGCAUUCGAAACUGGCAGGCUAGAGUCUUGUAGAGGGGGGUAGAAUUCUAGGUGUAGCGGUGAAAUGCGUAGAGAUCUGGAGGAAUACCGGUGGCGAAGGCGGCCCCCUGGACAAAGACUGACGCUCAGGUGCGAAAGCGUGGGGAGCAAACAGGAUUAGAUACCCUGGUAGUCCACGCCGUAAACGAUGUCGAUUUGGAGGUUGUGCCCUUGAGGCGUGGCUUCCGGAGCUAACGCGUUAAAUCGACCGCCUGGGGAGUACGGCCGCAAGGUUAAAACUCAAAUGAAUUGACGGGGGCCCGCACAAGCGGUGGAGCAUGUGGUUUAAUUCGAUGCAACGCGAAGAACCUUACCUGGUCUUGACAUCCACAGAACUUAGCAGAGAUGCUUUGGUGCCUUCGGGAACUGUGAGACAGGUGCUGCAUGGCUGUCGUCAGCUCGUGUUGUGAAAUGUUGGGUUAAGUCCCGCAACGAGCGCAACCCUUAUCCUUUGUUGCCAGCGGUUAGGCCGGGAACUCAAAGGAGACUGCCAGUGAUAAACUGGAGGAAGGUGGGGAUGACGUCAAGUCAUCAUGGCCCUUACGACCAGGGCUACACACGUGCUACAAUGGCAUAUACAAAGAGAAGCGACCUCGCGAGAGCAAGCGGACCUCAUAAAGUAUGUCGUAGUCCGGAUUGGAGUCUGCAACUCGACUCCAUGAAGUCGGAAUCGCUAGUAAUCGUAGAUCAGAAUGCUACGGUGAAUACGUUCCCGGGCCUUGUACACACCGCCCGUCACACCAUGGGAGUGGGUUGCAAAAGAAGUAGGUAGCUUAACCUUCGGGAGGGCGCUUACCACUUUGUGAUUCAUGACUGGGGUGAAGUCGUAACAAGGUAACCGUAGGGGAACCUGCGGUUGGAUCACCUCCUUA
This 1540-nucleotide ribosomal RNA is filed under the name Klebsiella pneumoniae. RNAcentral describes it as "16S ribosomal RNA". It matches the Rfam family "Bacterial small subunit ribosomal RNA". The record is from RNAcentral. Lineage: Bacteria; Pseudomonadati; Pseudomonadota; Gammaproteobacteria; Enterobacterales; Enterobacteriaceae.